This 281-nucleotide ribosomal RNA is filed under the name Megamonas funiformis YIT 11815. RNAcentral's name for it is "partial 16S ribosomal RNA". It matches the Rfam family "Bacterial small subunit ribosomal RNA", at positions 524 to 805 of the family's 1533-position model. The record is from RNAcentral. Lineage: Bacteria; Bacillati; Bacillota; Negativicutes; Selenomonadales; Selenomonadaceae.
UACGUAGGCGGCAAGCGUUGUCCGGAAUUAUUGGGCGUAAAGGGAGCGCAGGCGGGAAACUAAGCGGAUCUUAAAAGUGCGGGGCUCAACCCCGUGAUGGGGUCCGAACUGGUUUUCUUGAGUGCAGGAGAGGAAAGCGGAAUUCCCAGUGUAGCGGUGAAAUGCGUAGAUAUUGGGAAGAACACCAGUGGCGAAGGCGGCUUUCUGGACUGUAACUGACGCUGAGGCUCGAAAGCUAGGGUAGCGAACGGGAUUAGAUACCCCAGUAGUCGUGACUGACU